GAUGAACGCUGGCGGCGUGCCUAAUACAUGCAAGUCGAGCGAAUGGAUUAAGAGCUUGCUCUUAUGAAGUUAGCGGCGGACGGGUGAGUAACACGUGGGUAACCUGCCCAUAAGACUGGGAUAACUCCGGGAGACCGGGGCUAAUACCGGAUAACAUUUUGAACCGCAUGGUUCGAAAUUGAAAGGCGGCUUCGGCUGUCACUUAUGGAUGGACCAGCGUCGCAUUAGCUAGUUGGUGAGGUAACGGCUCACCAAGGCAACGAUGCGUAGCCGACCUGAGAGGGUGAUCGGUCACACUGGGACUGAGACACGGCCCAGACUCCUACGGGAGGCAGCAGUAGGGAAUCUUCCGCAAUGGACGAAAGUCUGACGGAGCAACGCCGCGUGAGUGAUGAAGGCUUUCGGGUCGUAAAACUCUGUUGUUAGGGAAGAACAAGUGCUAGUUGAAUAAGCUGGCACCUUGACGGUACCUAACCAGAAAGCCACGGCUAACUACGUGCCAGCCGCCGCAGUAA
Molecule: ribosomal RNA, 515 nt
Filed under: uncultured bacterium
Lineage: Bacteria
Description: partial 16S ribosomal RNA
Rfam family: Bacterial small subunit ribosomal RNA
Source: RNAcentral